UCCAAGAAGAAGCGUAUUUCCUGCGGGA
Molecule: non-coding RNA, 28 nt
Filed under: Rattus norvegicus (Norway rat)
Lineage: Eukaryota; Metazoa; Chordata; Mammalia; Rodentia; Muridae
Source: RNAcentral